Molecule: ribosomal RNA, 245 nt
Filed under: uncultured Prevotella sp.
Lineage: Bacteria; Pseudomonadati; Bacteroidota; Bacteroidia; Bacteroidales; Prevotellaceae
Description: partial 16S ribosomal RNA
Rfam family: Bacterial small subunit ribosomal RNA
Source: RNAcentral
UACGGAAGGUCCUGGCGUUAUCCGGAUUUAUUGGGUUUAAAGGGAGCGUAGGCGGAAGCUUAAGCGUGCUGUGAAAUGUACCGGCUCAACCGGUGACGUGCAGCGUGAACUGGGUUUCUUGAGUGUGCUGAAGGAAGGCGGAAUUCGUGGUGUAGCGGUGAAAUGCUUAGAUAUCACGAAGAACUCCGAUUGCGAAGGCAGCUUUCCGUAGCAUUACUGACGCUGAAGCUCGAAAGCGCGGGUAU